AUCAGCUGACGAGUCCCAAAUAGGACGAAAUGCGCAUCCUGGAU
RNAcentral lists this non-coding RNA (44 nucleotides) under Trichobilharzia regenti. The record is from RNAcentral. Lineage: Eukaryota; Metazoa; Platyhelminthes; Trematoda; Strigeidida; Schistosomatidae.